UUUACCGUUGUCAUAGCAACUGCCUACCAAGAUGGCUGUCAGUUACAAAGUUCCUGGAAAUGUGAUGGUAGCUGAAUUUAAUCUACAGCAGUUAAUUUCAG
Poecilia latipinna (sailfin molly) is the source of this 101-nucleotide long non-coding RNA. RefSeq lists it as uncharacterized. NCBI's taxonomy places the organism in Eukaryota, Metazoa, Chordata, Actinopteri, Cyprinodontiformes, Poeciliidae. The transcript is spliced from 3 exons. The record is from RefSeq and is a predicted model, not a curated record.